This 75-nucleotide transfer RNA is filed under the name candidate division WWE3 bacterium CG_4_10_14_0_2_um_filter_47_8. RNAcentral's name for it is "tRNA-Ala". It matches the Rfam family "tRNA". From Rfam's summary of the family: Transfer RNA (tRNA) molecules are approximately 80 nucleotides in length. Lineage: Bacteria; candidate division WWE3. RNAcentral also lists the same sequence under 3 other names. The record is from RNAcentral.
GGGGCGAUAGCUCAGCGGAAGAGCGCACCCUUCGCAUGGGUGAGGUCGGGGGUUCAAAUCCCCCUCGCUCCACCA